Molecule: long non-coding RNA, 4721 nt
Filed under: Mustela putorius furo (domestic ferret)
Lineage: Eukaryota; Metazoa; Chordata; Mammalia; Carnivora; Mustelidae
Description: lncRNA (ENSMPUG00000027382.1)
Source: RNAcentral
AAAAUAUAUGUUUAUAAAAAAUAAAAAAUUAUAUUAAAAAAAAUAAGUAGAGAAUAAUAAGAAAGAAAAGCAAAUUGAAAAAAAAUAAAAUAAAAAUAAAAAAAAUAAAAAUAAAUAAAAAAAAAAAGAGUCACUUAUGGUUUGUCUCCCUCCCAAUUCCAUCUUGUUUCAUUGGUGAUGCAACGUGUAAGUAUUAUUUUAAUGAGUAUUCCAUUAAAUUAUUAAGUAAUAAUUGUGAUAUUAAUAUAAUUUAUUGGAAAACUUUGACUAUGUUAAAGUCAUUAAUCUCCUAAUAUGAAUUAUAGAUUAUUGGAAACUCAUCUUCAACAACAGAACAACAAAUGAUAUUGAACAAAACAAUAUACAACAGUUGGAAGAAAAUUUAACGCUAUGCAUGAAUAUGUAUAAUAAUGUCUCAAAUGAGCUUAUCAUUUUUGAAAAUAUGACACAAAACAUAUUAAAAGAGCUGACAAACUUUACCUCAGAAUACUGUGAAGAGUUAAUGAAGAAGGAAAAAGAUGUUCAAUUUCACUCAUGUUUGGAAUCAUGGAUGUGGUAUGGAAAUGGAAGCCAAGGUCAUGCCCAGAUGAAUAUGGACAGUAAGAAAAAUUGCAAUAAUACCCAGGUGUUCUUUCGAUGUUUUCCAUUACCUAUCCCCUGGGUGGAUCUGGAUUCUCCUUUCAAGAAGACAAAUUGGGAAGAAGGAAGGGUUUUAAAAUUUUGCAUUGUGACCUAUUUGACACUUGCUGAAAACAGCAAAGUAAAAAACACGACAAUGGGACACACACCAAAUACAACUCAACUCCUGGAAACAAGCAGGGUUACAGAAAGUAACCAGAGGUCCAGAGAUGGGGACAGGGUCAUUCAUGAUGGGCAUUAAGAAGGGCGUGUGAUGUGAUAAACACUGGGUAUUUUACACAAGUGAUGAAUCAUUGAAUAUUAUAUCAAAAACUAAUAAUGUACUAUAUGUUGGCUAAUUGAAUUUAAAUAAAAAAACAGUGAAGUAUAUGACAUUCAAAAGAAAUGACAUGAUUGGAAAAUUUAAUACCUUUAGUAGUUAUCAUAUUUGUGAAAAUAAAGUAGCUAUAUCAAAUUUUCAAUUGUAGCUAAAUGCAAACAUUCCUACUUUAUGUAUUAGUGUGCAAGAUAAAGGUGACCAUAUAAGCUGAAACUUUGGAAAAUCGAUCUCAGAAUCCAAGAGAAAAUUUUUUGUUUUGUGACUUUAAAAACUUUUUUUGUCAAAACAUUAAAAAUGUCUUACUAUUGGUUAUAAAUGUGUAGAGAAGUGGAAAAAAGUAAAAUAAUACUACUUAAUAUGUUGUAAUUCCAAAUAUUAGAAACAUUGAAUAUUAAAUUGGUUUCUCCCAUUUAUCAAGAGAAGCAAGAGGAAUGGUAUAAUCCUUUUUGUGAUACAGCUUACUCUACAGAUUGAACAUUUUAUCCAUUCCUUGGCAAUUUGCUAUAUUCCUUUCUUUCUUUUUUUUAAAAAUUAAAAAAAAUUUAAUAAAUAUAUAAUGUAUUAUUAGCCCCAGGUGUACAGGUCUAUAAGUCACCAGAUUUACACACUUCACAGCAUUCACCAUAGCACAUAUGUCAUUUUCCUUUCUAGGUUAGGAUCAGCUUUUAACAUUUUAGCUUUUGUGAUGUCAAGACAUGAAAGAUUUCCAACAGUUCCUUUAAUGUGAAGUUUCCUGUAGGCAGCUUCACCUCCUCCAGCAUAUCUCCCUUCCUCAUUUUUGCCAAGAAAUUAUCUUCAGCAAGCUAUUCCAUUCUUCAGGAAUUUCAAAGUCCUCCGAGACUCUGAAAUGAUGGCAGUAUCAAUAUUCUCACAGUCAGCUAUUUCUUCUUUCUUAUUAUUACCCAUUAAAUAAUGGGUAAAUAUUUUUUUGUUGUUAUUGAAGUAUCAUUGACAGUUGUUUUGUCUUUAACUCUGUUUUUUAUUUAAAUCACAUUCUGCAAAGUCAUUCACAUGGUGUGGAAAAAGAUCUUUUCUCUUAUAAGGAUAUUCUGUUACCUUCUGACAAGAUGUUUGAAUAUUUUCAGCUGCAUGCUUUUUAUACUAUUUCUUCUAAAACUCGGCUAAAGAAAUUGCUUGAGCUCCAGUUACAGCCAAUAGUCUGCAAGGGUUUAAAAGCUUAAACAACUCCUUAGAUUAAUGAAGCUGUAUUGCUGAUAGAAAGCAAAUUUUCAUUUUUUCCCAAGAUCUUAUAUAAAUCAGGUUGAUCUAGAGUAUUAUGUAACAGUAGAAGUGCUUUAGAAAAAUGAUCUUCCUAAAAUAUCUCUACAACUGAGAAGCAAAGACGGAAAACAACUGUAUGCUUUUCUAUCAAUAUAUAAAUGAAAUAAGAGGUUCUCGGUGACCAAUCAUGGACAGACCUUGAAGGAAUUGACAAGAGUGGUCAUUUAUCAUAAUGAUCAUCUAUUACUUAUGUAGCAGGGUUUUGUACUUUAUGCAAUUACUCACCAUAUAUUGUAAUAAAUGAAAACUGAACUGUGUUGUUGCGGAAUGAGUGUUAAUUGAAUGAACUGUGACCACUGAUAUCUGUAUAUGGGAACCAUGUAAAGCAAGAACUAUCUGUGUUUCCAAUACAAUCUGUUACUGCAUGAUUUGAAUACCUCCAUUGACUCCUGUAUAUUAUAGCAAUUUUUAAAUUCAAUUAACGUCUACCUUAAUCUCACUAUAAUAUUUGUAUGGAAUACCGGAUAUAGAAGUAAUGACUUUGUAUUUUCCCACAAGCUGCUCAGUAUACACCUAUAAGAUAUUAAUUAAAAAAAAUAAUUUCUUAUUUACUUUUAACUCAGAUAUUAUGCAACUCAGUUAAAAAUGAUUCAGUGUUUGUUUAAAAACUGAUUUCUCUUCAGUCUUCCUUUUAUUAGUAUUAUUCUUUGUGCUACUGCAAAUUUCAUGUAAAUUUCAGAAAUUCAUGUUCCUAGGAACUUAGGCAAACAAUUCAUGACACUGGGGACUUCUAACAUUUACUACAUAAUCAUACUUCAUAUCCCUGUCUUUUUGUACAAGCACCUAUUCAUUUCCUAAGUGUGUCUUUCUGAAUAAUUAUAUCUGCUAUCUUCAUGGAUAAGGAAAAAAAUUGAUAAACUUAAAUAACUACUUCUGAUUUAAGAAAAAGCAAGAAAAGGUGGUGGAAGAAGAGGAAAAGGAAAAAAUUCUAAGUGAAUUAGAAUGGUAGACUAUUUCCUUAAUAUGCUAAUGAUCAUAUAUUUAAAAUUGUCACCAGUAUGAAACAAAAUAGUGAUUCUUAUGUAUUUUGUAAUAAUCAAAAUGAGUUUAUCACCAUUAUUACCUAACAUUGCCCUGGAAGUCUAGUAAGUGAAAAAGAGAAAAAUUAAGAGUAGUCACAACUGGGCGCCUGGGUGGCUCAGUGGGUUAAGCCGCUGCCUUCGGCUCAGGUCAUGAUCUCAGGGUCCUGGGAUCGAGGCCUGCAUCAGGCUCUCUGCUCAGCAGGGAGCCUGCUUCCCUCUCUCUCUCCCUGCCUCUCCAUCUACUUGUGAUUUCUCUCUGUCAAAUAAAUAAAUAAAAUCUUUAAAAAAAAAAAAAAGAGUAGUCACAACUGAUUAUAAAUGAUCAAAUAUUAAUUGUGGAUUCAUAGAAAAUGUGUUAUUAAAAAAAUAGCUGAAUGUUUGACAUAAAAUUAUUGAAUUGGCCACUCUCAUGACAAAUGUCCAAGACAUAUUCUUUAUUACAUAUAAAUAAAAAGUUGUCAGAAUAGCAAAUUGUUCUAAUAAGAGAAAAGGCAUUGACCAACAUAACAACAAAUAUAUAACACUCAUGAAAAAAUUAAUAGUGAAUAUGAAAUGAUAAAGAUUUAAAACUGUGGUAAAAGAAACAAGAUGACUUGAACAAAAAGAUGUAAUAUAACUUAUUCUUGGACAGAAAUUUCAAAUUUCUAAAUGUAUUACUCCUCUCAGAUUCAUCAACAAAUGAAGUGCAAUCAAAAUAUAUAUUCUGGAACAUCCAUAAAAUUAAUAUUACUUUUUCAGUUUUUUGCAGGAGAACAUGAUUAAGAAUCCACUAUGAUGGGAAACAUUUCAUUCUUAAAAAUUUUUUUUUUUCUCUUCUUCCUCUUACUGGUAGUUCUGAACGUUGGAUUUUAUUUUCCCCCCAUGGGGUCAAAAGCUACCUAAGUAUAUGAUUGCAAGAGGAAAUAUAGUGGACAUAAAUCAGGUAUUGGCAGUUUUUCCAUUUUCAUUUGUGUGUGAAUUUUUAAUAUAAAUGUGGGAACAUAAAGAGUUAAUGCAAGUCAAAAUGUUUCAGUGAAUACGUUUCAGGAGUUCAACUUUAUAACAAUUAUAAAUAAACCUGUUAAAUUUUUCUGGACAAUGCCAGCAUUGGGAUUUUUUUUUAAAAAACAAGUAAUUUUUUAUGGGCAGCAACUAAAUGGUGUUUGAGACGUUUUUAUCAUGCAGUAGAUUCCAACCAUUCAGUAUACUUUUCUAACUGACUUGUCCUACAUGCAAGUACAUGUUUUUAAUAGUGUCUGUCUCCGGUGCUUUUCCUGUAAGUUUGCUAUUAAAAUACAUUAAACUAUUAAAAAAAAAGCCAAGAAAAUUGAAUUCUUUUCAGAUGUAAUUUCAAACUGAUUCUGGCUAGGAAGCAGACUAGUUUCAUCAACAUCACAUGUAUAUUGUACAGUUUUCUAGAGUAAACAUGUGCUAUUUCUGGUAUUUAAAAAUAAGUUCAAAUAAUAAAUAAAAGUCGACAU